Molecule: long non-coding RNA, 4108 nt
Organism: Oreochromis aureus
Lineage: Eukaryota; Metazoa; Chordata; Actinopteri; Cichliformes; Cichlidae
Exons: 3
Source: RefSeq, a predicted model, not a curated record
UUUUUUAAGGCUUGUUGGUGUGGGCAGGAAUAUGGGGGGCUGAGCUUCUUUUGUGACCCACUUCAUAAAGCAGUCAGGCCCCUUCCAUAAACUGGCAUUAUUAUUCUGUGUUUCAGUUAAAUUUAACAAGCUUCCCAAAUAUUUAAGUAAUUACACGAUUUCAGCAACAACAAAAAAUCAUGCAUCAGAAUUCGCAGUGCUUUUUUUCAGGAAAUGCAAUCCAUAGUUAUUUUUUUGAUCUAAACAGUCUUGAUACUGGGUCACAAAUCUGUGCAGACAGAAAAUAUACGAGCUGGGUUUGAAGUGUGGUGUAUAGACUAGAGUGCUAUCAAAUACACCUGCCUUCAAUGAACCCAGCCCAAUCACAGCCACUGGCUCACAGCAGUUGUGAAACAAACCCACUCACACAUAAGUGGCCAUUUCCCACAGCAAAUGUGGAGGUGAGUUAAUAUGCAGGUGAUACCAGUCUAUCAUCUUACACAGCUGAUUACAAAUCUUGCAGCCAACAUUUUGAUAUCACUGGUAUAAAGAAAUGGAAAACGCUGACCCCAAUACUACAAACUGGUCAUUAUCUGUGAGAUUAUACUUCUCUCCUUGCUGUCCUUUCUUGACAUAGAAAUCCUACACAUCCAGAGAUUAAUAUCCAGAAAAGUUUAAGAUGGAAAGAUUUAAUAAAGCCCAUUUACAUGUCUACUUUCUAAGUUCAUUUUCUGGGUUGGUUUUUUUGGGGGGGUGGUUUUUCCCAUCAAACCUGAAAAAAAUCUGCUUGAUUGAAACAACAAUGUCUUUCCCCACGCCCUCUGAAUGCCUCAAAAGCUACUCCUUAAGUUCAAUUUAGCACACAGAGCUUUCUAGAUCUUGAUCGCAAGCAGAUAUGUUGAAGCCAGUUUUAAUACACGGGGCACCAAAGCUGGUGGACUGGAAGACGCUUAUGAUGUUCAGCUUUUCCUUUUAUCCUGCUUAUUGCUACCUGUAUCACAUCUUUCCAGAGGAGAACCACGGGAACUCAGGAGACAGGAACCCAAGUACUACAAUGCUGCAGCUACUGCCAGAACCAAGGAAGAGCUCCCAUCUCACAGCCCUGAGCAGCAAACCAUGGACGGCCAGUUUCACUACCAGGACUCAGCCAAUGUACACAAAGGAAAGCCAGGCCAAGCUGUCUGCCAGUGGCUCAUCAAACUUGUGGAGUUCUGGCAGCAGCCUUGAAGGUAAUCUCCCCCUAGCAUACCUCACUAUAUGGGCUGAGAGAGCUCUUGAUUAGGAGAUGAGGAACAACAUCUUUGAGACUGCUGAACUGUUUCCAGCUCUGUGGAAAGGAAGGAGGAUGGCAACAAAAAUGCCACUUUGCAUGGUCUACAGAGGACAAGCACUACAUAUGAGCCCUAGCUUAGCCCUAACCCUAACUUAAAAGUUCUUGUCCAUCACUUUAAUCUGAAAUGUUACUAUGACCCACAGGAGGUGAAAGGCCUGACCAACAAACAGGUGAAUUCGUGCUCAAUUUUGGGUCAGUCUGACUCAUUGAGUGAAACUGUUUCCAGCUCUGUCACAGAGGAGAAACAAGUUUUUACUGUCCCAAGUGUGGUGGCCUGAAGGAGGAGAAAAGGAAAGGGUAACUAAAUGGUACUGAUGCCACCUGGGCGUGCAGUUACACCUCAGGAAAUGUUACAUUAGCCAGUGCAAAGGUUUUCCAGUUACAAAGGCACACAGACUCUGACAAGGCAGACGUGUGGCAAAUUAAUUUUGAAAAGUUUAUUAAAUUAACUGAGAAUAUAGAACUGUGGGGAAAUAUAAAAAAAUAAAACACAGCAAAUUAAAUGGCGGGACUUGCAAUACCACCAGACCUUUCAAUUUAAACUCUUAAUUACCACACAUUGCUUAAAAGAACAAGAUUUGUGGCCACUAGCUGCUUUCUUUGAAAUAGCAGCUCAAAACUGUUUAUUAAUUUGGCCACUUUGGCACUCCUUCCUCUAGGUUGCUUCCCCAAGGGCUACCACCAGUUACUCACCCGUGACUCGCACAACCACCUAAAUGGUUGUCUAAACAUCUCCCAGUGUUUACACACGCAUGGAUAAGAGGGAACCUCACCAAACAUCAGAGCUAUUGUAAAUGAUGCCAGCUAGUAACAAUGACUGGACUGAGUGUGUCAGAUUUUCUGUGGAUUUUAUCUGACAGCCAUUUUAAUGUUCUGUUGAUGUUGACUUAACAGAGACUGUCUUUAACUAUUUUAUCACCACAGUAAAAUGAAGUACUGCCUUUCUUUUUUUUUUUUUUGGUGCAUGCGUGGGUUGUUUUAUUUUUUUUAUUUUUUAUUUUUUAAGUCGCCACUUAGGUGAGCUAUUAGAUGGAAAUGUUGCAUGUUUUUGAUGUGCAGUGUCCAGAGGGGAGGCUGCAGAUAAACCUCAUCAAAAAUGGUCUUGGUGGUUGUAAAGAAGGGGAAAUGGGAAGAAAAGGCAGAGGUAGGCCAAAUUACACCAGAACCAGACUGAAACUCAGUAGCCACAAGUUUAAAAUCCACAUGUGAAUUUUUGUUUCAAAUUAUCAAUGUGCAGAGGUGGUCAGGAGAGCAGUCCAACAGUGAGUGUCCACAGCCAUCUGUAAAACAUGAUGGAGACUCUAUCAAGUUUGGGGCUGAAUUUCAGUCAGUGGUGUUGGAGUUAAGCUCAAACACACUGUCAAUGCAGUAGAAGCAGUCAUGGAUUGGUAUUCAGAGUCCUGACCUCAAUGUUACUGAAGCAGCGUGGGAUCAUCUUGACAGUGAACAGAACAAAGAGCAGUCAACAUCCAAAGAGCUUUGAAUGUCCUUCAGGAAGCCUGGAGAACUAUUCCUGAAGGCUACUUCCAAGGCGCCUUGGAGAGGACGUUGGGUCUUGCUUGAUUACUGAAUGAUGAAAUAUAAUAUUUGAUUUUCAUAGAUUUCCAGUAGACUGUAUUUUUAUUCCAUGAACAUUAAGUUUUAGGGUCACCUGAAACUGGUUUGUCAGGCCACAUCACACAUGGCACUGAUCAUGGAUGGUAUCGAAACUUGACUGUGCGCUGAGGUGGCAACCCCUAACCCUACGCAAGUAAAUUAAAAUAAAUGUGUUGGGAAAAAUGUACUUCUAAAAGUAGUUUUAUUGCACCGUGUUCAUGUACUCAUGAGCUGCUGUAACAUGAAACAAAUGGCUGAAUUGCCAUCUCAGCAUGCAGUCAAAUUAGGUAAAGUCUUGCUAAUGACUUACUAAUUUUAUUCAGGUGUGUUGCAGCAGGGACACAUGGAAAGGUUUCAGGACAUCGGCCCUUGAGGAUGGGAGUUUGACACCUGUGAUUUAUAGCGUUUAUACUGGGGGGGUAGAACUCAGCCGGGGGAGUGCAGGUGCCCACAUGUUGUAUUUCUAUACUUCAGAAUCUAGCUAGUGCUACAGAAGAUAAGGAAACAUGAAGGGAGUGACAUUUUAAGUGUCAGAUAAUUUCAUAUUCAAAGGCUGUGCCUUUGCUGAUGUCUGAGCUGACAAUGCUUUUGUGUCAUUUGUCGCACAGUGUGUUGCAAGCUGAGGUCCAGCUGUUAUGUUUCAGAUGUAAAGGUAGAUUUGAAGUGCUCAGUGAUGCUUGAUAAACUGCAAACUUAAAGCUUAAAUAUGAUGUCAUAGUUUUAAUCACAUAUUGGGUCUACGUUCAUGAUUUGCACUUCAGUUCCAUCCUGCAGGACAUUGGCUGGAGCUGAAGUGAAGGCUGAUGGGAUGAUGCCCUGAUCCAGUUCAUGUGUGAUGAGAAACAGUUCAAGUGAACUAAUGAGGACGUUGCUGUGACUUUGACUACACACACUUGUUAUAUAAUGUUGGACCAGUAGGUGUCACUGUUGUCCAUGUACAUGGAGUGUUUCUGGCGUCUGGAGAAAAUCAGAAAAAUUAAUGAACUUUUUAACACUUUAUUAAAAAAUAUUAUAGUAUUUCAUUCUGCCAAAGUCCUUUUUUUUUUUUUUUUUUUUUUUUUUUUUUGUUUUGGAAGAAAAAUCAUUGGUGAUUCAUGCAUGUCUGACUUCAAAACAGACGUGCAUGUGUGAUUGUGUCAUCUGGAGCAGGGAUGGCUCAGUAGGUAGAGUGGUUGCCCCAUGAUUCACUGGGUGAAUGGG